GGGAGUGUAGCUUGGUGGUAGAGCACCUGCCUAACAUGCACAAGGUCCCAGGUUCAAUCCCUAGCACACCCA
This 72-nucleotide transfer RNA is filed under the name Urocitellus parryii (Arctic ground squirrel). Its description in RNAcentral is "Spermophilus parryii (Arctic ground squirrel) tRNA". It matches the Rfam family "tRNA". From Rfam's summary of the family: Transfer RNA (tRNA) molecules are approximately 80 nucleotides in length. Their secondary structure includes four short double-helical elements and three loops (D, anti-codon, and T loops). The record is from Rfam by way of RNAcentral. Lineage: Eukaryota; Metazoa; Chordata; Mammalia; Rodentia; Sciuridae. RNAcentral also lists the same sequence under 1 other name.